ACAUAUAUUCAACAAACUUUUCUCUGCUAUGUACAGAAAAUUAAAGAUUACAUCAAGACCUUCAACAUUGUCAUGAAGAUUCAUCCUAAAAUCGCGGCAUAAUUCCAGGGCAUCUCAAGAUCUUCAGCAUUUAUAUCUGCAUUCUUCUUGUAGAGAAGAUGUAUAGACGAUAGGUUACUGCAGCAGCUUCAAGCCUUGAAACUAUCAUUUGCAAAAGGUCCAGCACGAGUGAGUUUUACAAUUCCAGCAAAGGAAGUCGCAUCAAAAGGAACUUUCAACCAGAUUAUUGAACUCCUUUUUUAACUGAAAAAAUGCCAGAAGCUCCCUCAAGAGAAGCUCCCCAAAGCCCUGCUCUAAGCAGCACUAACACAUUAACAAGAAAAAUUGGUGCCAUUGUAGAAAAACUUCGUGAAAGCAAAUGCUGUCACUGCCACUCAGUUGACAAGAGAAAGGUAAGUAAGAUAGGAAAUCAUACCAAAGUUAGACAGUUAGCCAACAUCGAGCUAUAUACUUAGUGCACAUCUACCACAUAAAUCAACCAUAUUAUUGUUUUCUCAACUCCAAGUGAAAGACACUAGUAAACAACACCAAUAUGUUAUCAUACAUGAAGAAUGUGAGAUCAAGCUGAUGGAGGCAGAGAAAAUGCUUUUUGACAUUAGUAGCCAUAAAAAUUCACACUAAACUACCUGACAACAAUUAGUACUGCACAUUUUCACAACCUCUACUGAAAGAUUUAACAAUAGCUUCUCCUCAUCACAUGUCGAUAAACCUGGCCUACAUAGUGAAGCUAAAACCAGGCCUGCAUUGCACAGCAACUCAAUAGACCAUCACCAGUCUCUUACUGAAAGAACAAGAGUAAUAUAUGCAAAACAUCUUUCAAGGUUUAACAGAUGGUUCAAAUAACUAAGAUACAUAUAAAAGAAUGGCAUUGUAGCAAGCGGAAGGUAUGCAGAAAAAUAAGCCUCAUAAGAUCUACCCAAAUUGUAGCAUUACACCUACAGCAUAUUAGACGAUUCAUGAGCAUUCAUCGCACAGAUUUUCCUGAAAAGCAAAGUCUGCAGAAAUUGACACGAAAAUCAUACUUGUAGACCUAUAUAUUAGCAAUAAUUAUUUUUUCUUCUGUCUUCAAUGGUGUCCAAUGAUAAGGGUGAGGCAGUUAAUUAACAUCCAGCCCAGUGAAGAUUCAAGCCUGCAAAAUCAUUUCUUGAAUACAAAUUUACUUCAGAAAUCUUGAAACCAUAGUCAAAACAUCCAAUCGCAGUGAAAAAAAAAACACGAGUACACACAGAGAGACCCACAAAAAUGAGAAAAUAGUGCAAAAAAUACAAAAAGGAGUCAGAAAUCUCGUGUGGAAAGUGCCGCUCACUGCACCACAAGCAAUAUGGUGCUGCGUUUGCACAUUUCAGAGAUUAUCAUCAUCCAUUUCCUUGCAUAUCUUAAUUUUUCAACAACCAGAAAAAAAAGGAAUUUGUCCCAAAAAAGUAUUGCCCAUUUUUUCCCAUAUACUGAGGGAAACCAAAGAUUAAUUGCUAAAUCAGAGCAGGUUAUAGGAGAAAUCAAGAGGAUCUGCAAGAGGGUUUUGCAGGAUACCCUUUGAGAAGAAAAGGGUUCUCUCCAUCCGGGUCGUGGGAGGGGUUUAAUAGGAGAAGGCCUUCAUCAGAGUUGCGGCGUGGCGUGGCGUGGCGGCUAUAGAGGCAAUGCCAUCAGAGGAAAACGUAUUAAACCCUUCUUUUUAAUUUAGGUAAAUUGCAGUUACCCCCUCUAAAGUUUGACUAAUUGGAGAUACUUCCUGUAUUUGUUUAUGUGGUGUUUUAUCAUCUUUUGAGCUUUGUUUGAGCCUUCUUCUGAUUGAUUCAUCCUGUACAUCCUUCCAUUACAAAAGAAAU
RNAcentral lists this long non-coding RNA (1886 nucleotides) under Coffea arabica (coffee). RNAcentral's name for it is "long non-coding RNA (CARA_LNC007277)". Lineage: Eukaryota; Viridiplantae; Streptophyta; Magnoliopsida; Gentianales; Rubiaceae. The record is from RNAcentral.